This 897-nucleotide ribosomal RNA is filed under the name Flavobacterium sp. RPD008. RNAcentral describes it as "bacterial SSU rRNA". It matches the Rfam family "Bacterial small subunit ribosomal RNA", at positions 41 to 958 of the family's 1533-position model. The record is from RNAcentral. Lineage: Bacteria; Pseudomonadati; Bacteroidota; Flavobacteriia; Flavobacteriales; Flavobacteriaceae.
GGNUUGCGCUGCCUACCGUGCAGUCGAGUCGUAGAGUUGAUCUGCAGUUGCCUCCGGCGCACGGGUGCGUGACGCGUGCGCAUUCUGCCUUCCUGUGAGGGAUAUCCCAUAGAGAUUUGGAUUAAUACCUCAUAACAGGUUGUUCCGGCAUUUCUAUGAAUUAAAAUUCCGACGAGGGAAAAUGAGCUUGCCGUUAAUUCGGGUGCGCCGAUGUAACGUUUUACCGAAGGAUAACUGGCUACGGGUUGACUAAGGGAGAUCCGAUACAGUGGGGCUGGCGCCCGGACCAGACUCUAACCGGAGGCAGCACUGAGGAAUAUUGGUCAAUGGGCGCAAGCCUGAACCAGCCAUGCCGCGUGAAGGAUGACGGUCCUAUGGAUUGUAAACUGCUUUUGUACGGGAAGAAACACUCCUACGUGUAAGAGCCUGACGGUACCGUAAGAAUAAGGAUCGGCUAACUCCGUGCCAGCACCCGGCUUAAUACGGACGAUCCAAGCGUUAUCCGCAAUCAUUGCAUUUAAAGGGUCUGUAUUGCUGUCUUGUAAGUCAGUGGUGAAAGCCAAUCACUCAGGGUGUGAACGCCCAUGGAUCCUGCAUGACUUGAACUCUUGACAACCUACUUUAAUUUCUACUGAAGCGAUGAAAGGUUCACAUAUUACAUGGAAAAGCCAUUACAAUGCAGGAUGCUACCGAUGGAUUGACACUUAUGACAAACCUGACUAUCAAACAGGAAUACAUGCCCUGGAAGUCGCUCGUAACCGAGGAUACCAGCUGUGACGACAACUGCUUGUCUAGCGAAUUGAUACCCAUCCCAGCCUGAGUGACCAAUUACAGUUUGAACUGAGAGGUACUGUCCGGGACUCAAACACAGUGGAUCAUGGGGAUCACUCCAUCAUC